AUGCAUGCACACCUUGGUGGCGGAACAGAGCAGCUCCAGCGAGUUCUUCCUGACAACAGCUACACCCCUUCCGUACCCGAGCACAUGGGUGUGCUAAGGGAAGCUUCGCGCACCAAUUGGAGAAACAGCCAGCUUAUUCAAGCCCAGGGAUGGGGAAAGCCAGCACACGCUCUAAUGACUAAUCUAGACGCCAACGGGUGUAUUACAGGGGUGAUACCAGAGCAUCAACCGCCCCUUGCCGUGUGGGCUUAUGAUGGAUACACGGUACAGGAUGCUAGCCGUGCUGGAUCACUUCGUUUAACAUACUGCGAUAUCUGGAUUUUUCCGGGUCUGGCCCACCGCUAG
Molecule: ribosomal RNA, 345 nt
Filed under: Triticum aestivum (bread wheat)
Lineage: Eukaryota; Viridiplantae; Streptophyta; Magnoliopsida; Poales; Poaceae
Description: partial small subunit ribosomal RNA
Source: RNAcentral